GACGAACGCUGGCGGCGUGCCUAAUACAUGCAAGUCGAGCGGACGAAUCGAAAGCUUGCUUUUGAUUCGUUAGCGGCGGACGGGUGAGUAACACGUGGGCAACCUGCCCUGUAGACGGGGAUAACACCGAGAAAUCGGUGCUAAUACCGGAUAACACGAAAUGUCGCAUGACGUUUCGUUGAAAGACGGCGCAAGCUGCCGCUACAGGAUGGGCCCGCGGCGCAUUAGCUAGUUGGUGAGGUAACGGCUCACCAAGGCGACGAUACGUAGCCGACCUGAGAGGGUGAUCGGCCACACUGGGACUGAGACACGGCCCAGACUCCUACGGGAGGCAGCAGUAGGGAAGCUUCCGCAAUGGACGAAAGUCUGACGGAGCAACGCCGCGUGAGCGAAGAAGGCCUUCGGGUCGUAAAGCUCUGUUGUUAGGGAAGAACAAGUAACGCAGUAACUGGCGUUACCGUGACGGUACCUAACGAGAAAGCCACGGCUAACUACGUG
RNAcentral lists this ribosomal RNA (498 nucleotides) under uncultured bacterium. RNAcentral's name for it is "partial 16S ribosomal RNA". It matches the Rfam family "Bacterial small subunit ribosomal RNA", at positions 28 to 507 of the family's 1533-position model. The record is from RNAcentral.